AUGACGUUUCGGACGUUUUUUUUUUCGAUACAUCGUAAGACUGGCCGUGGAAUGUGUAAACUGUCUGUAAAAAGGGUAUGUGCCAUUUUUAAUGCAAGAAAAUUACUAGACAACUUAAAAAACAAAGUUUGGAAGAUAUUCGAGAGUUUUGAAGCACAGGUAUCAAACCCAAAAUGAUGAGUUGAAAGUUAGAAGACGUCUUAUUUCAAAUUUCAAAAAAGAAGAAAAUUUACAAGAUUCGGCAAUACAAUAUAGUCAAAAAAUAAAGCUAAAGGAAAAUAAACUCGAUGAAUACGCGAAUACAAUUUCAGUAAAAGGUAAUACUAUCGUCUUUAACAAUAUUGUAUAUAUUCUCAUGCAUCUUAUAAGAGCAGAGUUAGAAAGAUAAUUAGUUGUACAAUCUGGGACUCAGAAAGUUAGUCCCCGUAAAGUACAUCUGAUUUUUUUUAAAGUAACUAUUAAUAUUAGGGACUCGAGGGUUCAUCCAGAGCUUUUCAAAUAUCAAAAACGGCUUGUGACGUCCCGAUGCAUUAAAUGUGAACCGGUUUUACUUGUUAAACUAACCUACAACUCUUUUAUCCAUGGAUUCUACGUUAUUUUAUGUGUGUGCUAGGUUACGCAUUUUGACCUUGUUCGCGUGACAUUCAGACUUUGAAUGCGUGUAAAUUUAUUUCUAAAUUUACGACGAAUACUCCAGAACACAUAUUCUCUUCUUCUCUUGCUCUUUAUAAACAGUUGGGCAAGACUACUAUGGCCAUCCGCCCAUUACCGACAUCCACCGAGGAUUUUUUUCUUUUGGUCACAGACCAACAGUUAACGAAACUAUUACCAACAUUUAUUCUCAGCUUCCAAUAUAGGACUUUGACUGAUAACAAAAAAAAAACGGCCUCCUCCGCGAACCAUCCAGGCCCAUCCGGCCUCCAUACCGGCGUGAACAGGAAAAAACCGAGGGGCCGACGUCGAUUACACCUUAAAAACACUCACUAGACACAAAAAACACUAAAUUCACUCGGUGGAAACCGAUUCCAUAAUUUUUGGGGACGAUUACAAAGGAUUCUGUCUGGAGCGAACGGUCACACUGUCAUUAAAAACUCCGGAUUCUUCAAAUCCCUCGAUAUGUUUAAAAUUAUACGUUUGGAUAUUAGUUCCGGCGGUAUCCUAUAUAAUUCAACAAUAGCAAAUGAACGAGGCACUUAAAAUAAUUGUUUGGGUCCUUUACCGCCACCUCU
Long non-coding RNA from Cylas formicarius (sweet potato weevil), 1229 nucleotides. RefSeq lists it as uncharacterized. NCBI's taxonomy places the organism in Eukaryota, Metazoa, Arthropoda, Insecta, Coleoptera, Brentidae. The transcript has 2 exons. The record is from RefSeq and is a predicted model, not a curated record.